GAUAUUUCUAGUUUACUAGGAAGAAAGUGGCGCACGGGUGCGUAACGCGUAUGCAACCUACCUUAAUCAGGGGGAUAACCCGAAGAAAUUCGGAUUAACACCGCAUAAAAUCACAGUACAGCAUUGUACAAUGAUCAAAUAUUUAUAGGAUUAAGAUGGGCAUGCGUGACAUUAGCUAGUUGGCGGGGUAACGGCCCACCAAGGCUACGAUGUCUAGGGGAUCUGAGAGGAUGACCCCCCACACUGGUACUGAGACACGGACCAGACUCCUACGGGAGGCAGCAGUAAGGAAUAUUGGUCAAUGGAGGCAACUCUGAACCAGCCAUGCCGCGUGCAGGAAGACAGCCCUCUGGGUCGUAAACUGCUUUUAUUCGGGAAUAAACCUCAUUACGUGUAAUGAGCUGAAUGUACCGAAGGAAUAAGGAUCGGCUAACUCCGUGCCAGCAGCCGCGGUAAUACGGAGGAUCCAAGCGUUAUCCGGAUUUAUUGGGUUUAAAGGGUGCGUAGGCGGCUUUUUAAGUCAGGGGUGAAAGACGGUAGCUCAACUAUCGCAGUGCCCUUGAUACUGAAGAGCUUGAAUGGACUAGAGGUAGGCGGAAUGUGACAAGUAGCGGUGAAAUGCAUAGAUAUGUCACAGAACACCGAUUGCGAAGGCAGCUUACUAUGGUUUUAUUGACGCUGAGGCACGAAAGCGUGGGGAUCAAACAGGAUUAGAUACCCUGGUAGUCCACGCCCUAAACGAUGAAUACUCGCUGUUAGCGAUACACAGUUAGCGGCUAAGCGAAAGCGUUAAGUAUUCCACCUGGGGAGUACGGUCGCAAGAUUGAAACUCAAAGGAAUUGACGGGGGCCCGCACAAGCGGAGGA
Molecule: ribosomal RNA, 866 nt
Filed under: Pedobacter sp. G03 78-18
Lineage: Bacteria; Pseudomonadati; Bacteroidota; Sphingobacteriia; Sphingobacteriales; Sphingobacteriaceae
Description: bacterial SSU rRNA
Rfam family: Bacterial small subunit ribosomal RNA
Source: RNAcentral